Molecule: ribosomal RNA, 1120 nt
Filed under: Bacillus amyloliquefaciens
Lineage: Bacteria; Bacillati; Bacillota; Bacilli; Caryophanales; Bacillaceae
Description: bacterial SSU rRNA
Rfam family: Bacterial small subunit ribosomal RNA
Source: RNAcentral
GGAUGGUUGUCUGAACCGCAUGGUUCAGACAUAAAAGGUGGCUUCGGCUACCACUUACAGAUGGACCCGCGGCGCAUUAGCUAGUUGGUGAGGUAACGGCUCACCAAGGCGACGAUGCGUAGCCGACCUGAGAGGGUGAUCGGCCACACUGGGACUGAGACACGGCCCAGACUCCUACGGGAGGCAGCAGUAGGGAAUCUUCCGCAAUGGACGAAAGUCUGACGGAGCAACGCCGCGUGAGUGAUGAAGGUUUUCGGAUCGUAAAGCUCUGUUGUUAGGGAAGAACAAGUGCCGUUCAAAUAGGGCGGCACCUUGACGGUACCUAACCAGAAAGCCACGGCUAACUACGUGCCAGCAGCCGCGGUAAUACGUAGGUGGCAAGCGUUGUCCGGAAUUAUUGGGCGUAAAGGGCUCGCAGGCGGUUUCUUAAGUCUGAUGUGAAAGCCCCCGGCUCAACCGGGGAGGGUCAUUGGAAACUGGGGAACUUGAGUGCAGAAGAGGAGAGUGGAAUUCCACGUGUAGCGGUGAAAUGCGUAGAGAUGUGGAGGAACACCAGUGGCGAAGGCGACUCUCUGGUCUGUAACUGACGCUGAGGAGCGAAAGCGUGGGGAGCGAACAGGAUUAGAUACCCUGGUAGUCCACGCCGUAAACGAUGAGUGCUAAGUGUUAGGGGGUUUCCGCCCCUUAGUGCUGCAGCUAACGCAUUAAGCACUCCGCCUGGGGAGUACGGUCGCAAGACUGAAACUCAAAGGAAUUGACGGGGGCCCGCACAAGCGGUGGAGCAUGUGGUUUAAUUCGAAGCAACGCGAAGAACCUUACCAGGUCUUGACAUCCUCUGACAAUCCUAGAGAUAGGACGUCCCCUUCGGGGGCAGAGUGACAGGUGGUGCAUGGUUGUCGUCAGCUCGUGUCGUGAGAUGUUGGGUUAAGUCCCGCAACGAGCGCAACCCUUGAUCUUAGUUGCCAGCAUUCAGUUGGGCACUCUAAGGUGACUGCCGGUGACAAACCGGAGGAAGGUGGGGAUGACGUCAAAUCAUCAUGCCCCUUAUGACCUGGGCUACACACGUGCUACAAUGGACAGAACAAAGGGCAGCGAAACCGCGAGGUUAAGCCAAUCCCAC